This is a long non-coding RNA of Hypanus sabinus (Atlantic stingray), 1220 nucleotides long. RefSeq lists it as uncharacterized. The record is from RefSeq and is a predicted model, not a curated record. Lineage: Eukaryota; Metazoa; Chordata; Chondrichthyes; Myliobatiformes; Dasyatidae. The transcript is spliced from 5 exons.
GAGGAGCGAAAGCUCGUGAGAGUUGAUGGCGGCCAGAGGAGGGAGAAGUCAGCUGGGAGGCCCCGGUCCGGGGAGCUGGACGAUCGUGGAGGGGAUGUGCAAUAUCUCUGCAGUUGCUUUAGUGCCUGUUCAGUUCAAGUGUAAUUAUCGGACAUGAAUACAGCCAAUCAAAACAGGGCCAAGGUGCAAGACAAAUUACCAACAACAGACUGCACAUAUGGUGAUGAUUUCAGAAAAAAUAGUGAAAUGCAGUAACCACUAUUUCUGUGUUUUGCAUCGCUGAGGAUAUUUGAUCAGGCAUUUCUGGGUCACCCUUGGGCAAGGUGUAGCAGCUGCUCAGCCCCCUGAUCAGAGACACGUGAAGACAUGGGAGCAGAAUGGUACCGCAACAACAACCUCUCACUGAACGUCAGCAAAAGCUGAUUAAUGACUACAGGUGGAAGAAACCAGAGCCACUCCUCAUCAGGAUAUCAGAGGUGGAGGGAGUCAGUAACUUUAGAUUCCUUUGUGUUAUUUCAGAGAUCUGACCUGGGAUCAGCAAGUAAGUGCCAUUGCGAAGAAGGGACAGUAGCACUUAGAAGUUUGAGAAGAUUCAACAUGGCAUCUAAAACUCUGACAAACUUAUAUUGAUGCACAGUGGAGAGUAUCCUGACUGGUUGCAUUGCAACCGAGUAUGGAAACACCAAUGCCCAUGAAUAGAAAAAUCUUCAAGGAUCAGUGGAUACAGCCCAUUUCAUCACAAGAAAAAUCCACUCCACCAUUGAGGGCAUCUACGAGGAGCACUUCCACAGGAAUUCAGCAUCUGUCAUCAAAGACCCCACCAUCCAUACCAUGCUCUCACUCACUGCUGCCAUCAGGAAGUAGGAACAGAAGUAGAUCCCACACCACCAGGUUCAGGAACAUCUAUUAGCCUUCAAUCAUCAGGCUCCUGAACCAGUGUGGAUAAUUCAGGUCACCUCAACACUGAACUGAUUCCACAACCUAUGGACUUACUUUCAAGGACUCCACAACUCAUGUUCUCUAUAUUAAUUAUUAUUUUGUAUUUACACCGUUUGUCUUCUUUUACACAUUAGUUCUUUGCCAGUAUUUAGAUAUGUGCAGUAUUUCAUUGUUUCUAUUGUAUUUCUUUGUUCUACUGGGAAUGCCUGUAAGAAGAUGAAUUUGAGGACAGUAUAUGGUAACAUUUAUGUUCUUUGAUAAUAAAUUUACUUUGAACAUUG